GGAUUCAGCAGCUACCAUGCAGUCGAGCGGUAGCACAGAGAGCUUGCUCUCGGGUGACGAGCGGCGGACGGGUGAGUAAUGUCUGGGAAACUGCCUGAUGGAGGGGGAUAACUACUGGAAACGGUAGCUAAUACCGCAUAACGUCGCAAGACCAAAGUGGGGGACCUUCGGGCCUCAUGCCAUCAGAUGUGCCCAGAUGGGAUUAGCUAGUAGGUGGGGUAACGGCUCACCUAGGCGACGAUCCCUAGCUGGUCUGAGAGGAUGACCAGCCACACUGGAACUGAGACACGGUCCAGACUCCUACGGGAGGCAGCAGUGGGGAAUAUUGCACAAUGGGCGCAAGCCUGAUGCAGCCAUGCCGCGUGUAUGAAGAAGGCCUUCGGGUUGUAAAGUACUUUCAGCGGGGAGGAAGGCGAUAAGGUUAAUAACCUUGUCGAUUGACGUUACCCGCAGAAGAAGCACCGGCUAACUCCGUGCCAGCAGCCGCGGUAAUACGGAGGGUGCAAGCGUUAAUCGGAAUUACUGGGCGUAAAGCGCACGCAGGCGGUCUGUCAAGUCGGAUGUGAAAUCCCCGGGCUCAACCUGGGAACUGCAUUCGAAACUGGCAGGCUAGAGUCUUGUAGAGGGGGGUAGAAUUCCAGGUGUAGCGGUGAAAUGCGUAGAGAUCUGGAGGAAUACCGGUGGCGAAGGCGGCCCCCUGGACAAAGACUGACGCUCAGGUGCGAAAGCGUGGGGAGCAAACAGGAUUAGAUACCCUGGUAGUCCACGCCGUAAACGAUGUCGAUUUGGAGGUUGUGCCCUUGAGGCGUGGCUUCCGGAGCUAACGCGUUAAAUCGACCGCCUGGGGAGUACGGCCGCAAGGUUAAAACUCAAAUGAAUUGACGGGGGCCCGCACAAGCGGUGGAGCAUGUGGUUUAAUUCGAUGCAACGCGAAGAACCUUACCUGGUCUUGACAUCCACAGAACUUGCCAGAGAUGGCCUUGGUGCCUUCGGGAACUGUGAGACAG
This 1007-nucleotide ribosomal RNA is filed under the name Klebsiella pneumoniae. RNAcentral describes it as "bacterial SSU rRNA". It matches the Rfam family "Bacterial small subunit ribosomal RNA", at positions 41 to 1037 of the family's 1533-position model. Lineage: Bacteria; Pseudomonadati; Pseudomonadota; Gammaproteobacteria; Enterobacterales; Enterobacteriaceae. The record is from RNAcentral.